This 1258-nucleotide ribosomal RNA is filed under the name metagenome. RNAcentral describes it as "bacterial LSU rRNA". It matches the Rfam family "Bacterial large subunit ribosomal RNA", at positions 1689 to 2925 of the family's 2925-position model. The record is from RNAcentral.
CUUGAGAACUCUGGUUAAGGAACUCUGCAAAUUGAUACCGUAACUUCGGAAGAAGGUAUGCCUUUUUUGGUCACUGGACUUGCUCCAGGAAGCUGAAGAAGGCCGCAGGUAAUCGGGGGCUGCGACUGUUUACCAAAAACACAGGACUCUGCGAACACGUAAGUGGAUGUAUAGGGUCUGACGCCUGCCCGGUGCUGGAAGGUUAAUUGAUGGGGUCAGCCGCAAGGCGAAGCUCUUGAUCGAAGCCCCAGUAAACGGCGGCCGUAACAAUAACGGUCCUAAGGUAGCGAAAUUCCUUGUCGGGUAAGUUCCGACCUGCACGAAUGGCGUAACGCUGGCCCCACUGUCUCGACCAGAGACUCAGUGAAGUUGAAAUCGCUGUGAAGAUGCGGCGUAGCUGCGGAAAGACGGAAAGACCCCGUGAACCUUUACUACAGCUUUACACUGAACUUUGAGUUUAUUUGUGUAGGAUAGGUGGGAGCCUUUGAAGCAGGGGCGCUAGCUCUUGUGGAGGCAACCUUGAAAUACCACCCUGAUAACUUCGGAGUUCUAACCUAGAUCCGUAAUCCGGAUUGGGAACACUGUAUGGUGGGUAGUUUGACUGGGGCGGUCUCCUCCCAAAGAGUAACGGAGGAGUGCAAAGGUACCCUCAGCGCGGUCGGUCAUCGCGCUUUUGAGUGCAAUGGCAUAAGGGUGCUUGACUGCGAGACGUACAUGUCGAGCAGGAACGAAAGUUGGUCAUAGUGAUCCGGUGGUUCUGUAUGGAAGGGCCAUCGCUCAACGGAUAAAAGGUACUCCGGGGAUAACAGGCUUAUUCCUCCCAAGAGUCCACAUCGACGGAGGAGUUUGGCACCUCGAUGUCGGCUCAUCACAUCCUGGGGCUGUAGCAGGUCCCAAGGGUUCGGCUGUUCGCCGAUUAAAGUGGUACGCGAGCUGGGUUCAAAACGUCGUGAGACAGUUUGGUCCCUAUCUUCCGUAGCCGUUGGAGAUUUGAGGGUGAGUUGCUCCUAGUACGAGAGGACCGGAGUGAAUGUAUCUCUGGUGUUCCGGUUGUCACGCCAGUGGCACUGCCGGGUAGCUAUAUACAGACGGGAUAACCGCUGAAAGCAUCUAAGCGGGAAGCCCCCCCCAAGACGAGAUCUCCCUGAGGACUUGAUCCUCCUAAAGGGCCCAAGAAGACUACUUGGUUGAUAGGCUGGGUGUGUACGCGUAGCAAUACGCUUAGCUAACCAGUACUAAUUGCCCGUGAGGCUUGACU